RNAcentral lists this ribosomal RNA (1266 nucleotides) under metagenome. Its description in RNAcentral is "bacterial SSU rRNA". It matches the Rfam family "Bacterial small subunit ribosomal RNA", at positions 220 to 1498 of the family's 1533-position model. The record is from RNAcentral.
ACGGGAUGAGUAUGCGUGCCAUUAGUUAGAUGGUGAGGUAACGGCUCACCAUGACAAUGAUGGCUACGGGGUCUUAAAGGAUGGUCCCGCACACUGGUACUGAGACACGGACCAGACUCCUACGGGAGGCAGCAGUGAGGAAUAUUGGUCAAUGGGGGAAACCCUGAACCAGCCAUGCCGCGUGAAGGAUGACUGCCCUAUGGGUUGUAGACUUCUUUUUUACGAGAAGAACCGGUUCUGUUUUGAGAACUCUGACGGUAUCGUAAGAAUAAGCAUCGGCUAACUCCGUGCCAGCAGCCGCGGUAAUACGGAGGAUGCAAGCGUUAUCCGGAUUUAUUAGGUUUAAAGGGUGCGCAGGCGGGAAGAUAAGUCAGCGGUGAAAUCCUACAGCUUAACUGUAGAACUGCCGUUGAUACUGUUUUUCUUGAGUGCGGUUGAGGUAAGCGGAAUGUGCAGUGUAGCGGUGAAAUGCUUAGAUAUUGCACAGAACACCAAUUGCGAAGGCAGCUUACUAAGCCGUAACUGACGCUGAGGCACGAAAGCGCGGGGAGCGAACAGGAUUAGAUACCCUGGUAGUCCGCGCCGUAAACGAUGAUUACUCGUUGUGCGCGAUAUACAGUGCGUGACUGAGCGAAAGCAUUAAGUAAUCCACCUGGGGAGGACGUUCGCAAGAAUGAAACUCAAAGGAAUUGACGGGGGCCCGCACAAGCGGAGGAACAUGUGGUUUAAUUCGAUGAUACGCGAGGAACCUUACCCGGGCUUAAAUGGAGCGGCUCUUCGGAGUCAGAUCAAGAAAUUGACUUAAAGUUUCAAGGUGCUGCAUGGCUGUCGUCAGCUCGUGCCGUGAGGUGUCGGGUUAAGUCCCAUAACGAGCGCAACCCCUAUCAUUAGUUGCCAGCGGAUCAUGCCGGGGACUCUAAUGAGACUGCCACCGCAAGGUGAGAGGAAGGCGGGGAUGACGUCAAGUCAGCACGGCCCUUAUGUCCGGGGCUACACACGUGUUACAAUGGCCAGUACAGAGAGCUGCUACCUGGUGACAGGAUGCUAAUCUUCAAAACUGGUCUUAGUUCGGAUUGAAGUCUGCAACUCGACUUCAUGAAGCUGGAUUCGCUAGUAAUCGCAGAUCAGCAAUGCUGCGGUGAAUACGUUCCCGGGCCUUGUACACACCGCCCGUCAAGCCAUGGAAGCUGGGAGUGCCUGAAGUCUGUAACCGCAAGGAGCGGCCUAGGGUAAAACUAGUAACUGGGGCUAAGUCGGAACAAGGUA